UUAAAGUUUUAUUUUGGCUUAGGAUUUUAUUAUUGAUUUAUUUUAUAUGUAAGUUUUUGCGUGUAUUUUUAUUUAUUUUAAUAAUAAAUAAAUUUUAAUUAUAGUCUCAGUAAAUAGUUUUAUUAAUCAAGGAAACUUGGAAAUAGUAAUUUCAGAGAGUAUUGGCUAAAUUUGUGCCAGCAGCCGCGGUUAUACAAAUAAUGCGAAUAAAAUUUGAUUAGUGUGAGUUAAAAUUGUUAAUGUUAAAGUAAAAUAAGAUUUAUUAGGUGAAAUUUUAAAUUUUAUAAUCUUUAUAUAUUGAAGUUUUUGAAGCUUGUAAAUUUUAGAUAUAAACUAGGAUUAGAUACCCUAUUAUUUAAAAUGUAAAUAUAAACACUGAGGUAGUAGUAGUUAUGUUCUUGAAACUUAAAAAAUUUGGCGGUACUUUAGUCUAUUCAGAGGAAUCUGUCCUGUAAUUGAUAAUCCACGAUGAACCUAACUUAAGAUUGUAUUUCAGUUUAUAUACCGUCGUUAUCAGAAUAUUUUAUUAGAAUAAUAAUUUUCUAUAAUUUUAAUUGGAAUGUAUAUCAGAUCAAGGUGUAGCUUAUACUUAAGUAGAGAUGGAUUACAAUAAAUUUAUUUAAACGGAUCUAAAUUUGAAAUAUUUUUAGUGAAGGUGGAUUUGAUAGUAAAAUUUUAAAGAUUGUAAAUUUGAUUUUAGCUCUAGAGUAUGCACACAUCGCCCGUCGCUCUUACUAUUAAGGUAAGAUAAGUCGUAACAUAGUAGAUGUACCGGAAGGUGUAUCUAGAAUGA
RNAcentral lists this non-coding RNA (793 nucleotides) under Zeugodacus cilifer. Lineage: Eukaryota; Metazoa; Arthropoda; Insecta; Diptera; Tephritidae. The record is from RNAcentral.